This 301-nucleotide ribosomal RNA is filed under the name uncultured bacterium. RNAcentral describes it as "partial 16S ribosomal RNA". It matches the Rfam family "Bacterial small subunit ribosomal RNA", at positions 509 to 807 of the family's 1533-position model. The record is from RNAcentral.
CAGCCGCCGCGGUAAUACAGAGGGUGCGAGCGUUAAUCGGAUUUACUGGGCGUAAAGCGUGCGUAGGCGGCUUUUUAAGUCGGAUGUGAAAUCCCUGAGCUUAACUUAGGAAUUGCAUUCGAUACUGGGAAGCUAGAGUAUGGGAGAGGAUGGUAGAAUUACAGGUGUAGCGGUGAAAUGCGUAGAGAUCUGGAGGAAUACCGAUGGCGAAGGCAGCCAUCUGGCCUAAUACUGACGCUGAGGUACGAAAGCAUGGGGAGCAAACAGGAUUAGAUACCCGGGUAGUCCCUGUCUCUUAUAC